This 576-nucleotide ribosomal RNA is filed under the name Aspergillus sp. SL-30. RNAcentral's name for it is "eukaryotic LSU rRNA". The stretch from base 195 to 348 matches the Rfam family "5.8S ribosomal RNA". Lineage: Eukaryota; Fungi; Ascomycota; Eurotiomycetes; Eurotiales; Aspergillaceae. The record is from RNAcentral.
GGAUCAUUACCGAGUGAGGGCCCUCUGGGUCCAACCUCCCACCCGUGUCUAUCGUACCUUGUUGCUUCGGCGGGCCCGCCGUUUCGACGGCCGCCGGGGAGGCCUUGCGCCCCCGGGCCCGCGCCCGCCGAAGACCCCAACAUGAACGCUGUUCUGAAAGUAUGCAGUCUGAGUUGAUUAUCGUAAUCAGUUAAAACUUUCAACAACGGAUCUCUUGGUUCCGGCAUCGAUGAAGAACGCAGCGAAAUGCGAUAAGUAAUGUGAAUUGCAGAAUUCAGUGAAUCAUCGAGUCUUUGAACGCACAUUGCGCCCCCUGGUAUUCCGGGGGGCAUGCCUGUCCGAGCGUCAUUGCUGCCCUCAAGCACGGCUUGUGUGUUGGGCCCCCGUCCCCCUCUCCCGGGGGACGGGCCCGAAAGGCAGCGGCGGCACCGCGUCCGGUCCUCGAGCGUAUGGGGCUUUGUCACCUGCUCUGUAGGCCCGGCCGGCGCCAGCCGACACCCAACUUUAUUUUUCUAAGGUUGACCUCGGAUCAGGUAGGGAUACCCGCUGAACUUAAGCAUAUCAAUAAGCGGAGGA